ACACAGGUGGUCUGGUAGAGCAUACCGAGGCGAGCGGGAGAACCGUGGUCAAGGAACUCGGCAAACUGUCCCCGUAACUUCGGAAGAAGGGGAGCCACGGCUGGUGAACACCCCUGCGGUGGGAGCUGGUGGUGGCCGCAGAGAGUGGGCCCGAGCGACUGUUUACUAAAAACACAGGUCCGUGCGAAGUCGCAAGACGAGGUAUACGGACUGACGCCUGCCCGGUGCCGGAACGUUAACAGGACUCGUUACCCACCUGGUGGGGAAGCGGGAAAUGGAAGCGCCGGUAAACGGCGGUGGUAACUAUAACCAUCCUAAGGUAGCGAAAUUCCUUGUCGGGUAAGUUCCGACCUGCACGAAUGGCGUAACGACUUGGGCGCUGUCUCGACCACGGACCCGACGAAAUUGCACGACGAGUUAAGAUGCUCGUUUCGCGCGGCAGGACGGAAAGACCCCGGGACCUUUACUGCAGCUUGGCAUGGGUGUCUGGUUCGGCUUGUGUAGGAUAGGUGGGAGACGCAGAAGCGGACACGCCAGUGUUCGUGGAGUCGCUGGUGAAAUACCACUCUGGUCGUUGCGGGCGUCUAACCUCGGUCCGUGAUCCGGACCAGGGACAGUGCCUGGUGGGCAGUUUAACUGGGGCGGUUGCCUCCCAAACGGUAACGGAGGCGCCCAACGGUCUCCUCAGCCUGGUUGGAAACCAGGUGUUCGAGUGCAAGGGCACAAGGAGGCUUGACUGUGAGACUGACGGGUCGAGCAGGUGCGAAAGCAGGGCCUAGUGAUCCGGCACUGGCUGGUGGAAGCGGUGUCGCUCAACGGAUAAAAGGUACCCCGGGGAUAACAGGCUUAUCCUGCCCAAGAGUCCAUAUCGACGGCAGGGUUUGGCACCUCGAUGUCGGCUCGUCGCAUCCUGGGGCUGUAGUCGGUCCCAAGGGUUGGGCUGUUCGCCCAUUAAAGCGGCACGCGAGCUGGGUUUAGAACGUCGUGAGACAGUUCGGUCCCUAUCCGCCGCGCGCGCACGGAGACCUGAGAAGGGCUGUCCCUAGUACGAGAGGACCGGGACGGACGAACCUCUGGUGUGCCAGUUGUCCCGCCAGGGGCACGGCUGGUUGGCUACGUUCGGCACAGAUAACCGCUGAAAGCAUCUAAGCGGGAAGCUGGCUUCGAGAUGAGGUCUCCC
RNAcentral lists this ribosomal RNA (1180 nucleotides) under Halopolyspora algeriensis. Its description in RNAcentral is "Bacterial large subunit ribosomal RNA". It matches the Rfam family "Bacterial large subunit ribosomal RNA", at positions 1657 to 2815 of the family's 2925-position model. The record is from Rfam by way of RNAcentral. Lineage: Bacteria; Bacillati; Actinomycetota; Actinomycetes.